This is a long non-coding RNA of Mya arenaria, 1139 nucleotides long. RefSeq lists it as uncharacterized. The transcript is spliced from 5 exons. The record is from RefSeq and is a predicted model, not a curated record. Lineage: Eukaryota; Metazoa; Mollusca; Bivalvia; Myida; Myidae.
CGUUUCCCAGUUUAUCACGAGGAACAUCCGGUGUUAAACUUCAACGUUUCUUGGUUUAAAUUGUGGAAUUGCAAGUGGUGCUGAACCAUGUAGCCAAGAUGUGCACUACCACUACUCAUGGGAUUUUGCCCAGCAAGUCCACUAUCCACAUCAUGCCAACAAGUUGGGCCGAUAUAUUUCGCCACCCCACAGAAAUGUCAUGUGUUUCGCAUGUGUGCCUUAGGUUCAGCUAUGUUUUUAUGGAAAGUAGACAUUUUAUCUGGUGGACGAGGCCGAAUUGCCGGGGAAAGGAAGUGACAGUGUCGUGAGCCUGGCCCACCACUACUUUCAGCACUAUGGUGUCGGUGAAAAACAUGCUGAGGUUUAUUUCGAUAAUGCUGUCGGCCAAAACAAGAACAAUGCUGUGCUUUGGUAUGCCAUGUGACCUGUAAUGACAGGAUUGCAUGAGAGUGUAACACUAAACACUAUGUUGGCUGGGCACACCAAAUUUGCUCCUGACUGUCACUUCGGCAACUGGAAGGUCCAGUGGCGAUGUUGUAAUGCCGAGAAUCUUCAAGAAAUUGCCCACACUGUUUUCACCUCUUCAAAGUCCGGCCACAACAUCCCACACUUGGUUUAUGACCCUCAACAGCCAAUCACAGUUCACAGUUGGAUAUCAUUCCUAGAUACAUAUUUCAAAACUCUAAAGAAUAUUACCAAAUACCACCAUUUCUAUGUAUCAAAACAUAAACCAGGAGUUUAGUAUGCAAAGAGUUUGUAGAUUCCUCAGAAAUUGAAGUUAUUCUUUUGAGGAUGAGUCAAGAAUGUGGUUUUUUGGCUGAAAUAAAGCACGCAACGUGCCUAGAUGCUGAACGUCAAUUGUACCUUCAAUAUUCUUUUGGUCCAUUCUUUAGAUCUGAGUCAUCAAGAUCUGCAGUAUGCCCUAAACAAACUCUGUGUAAAGUCGAAGUUUACUCAUUUGUUGGUGAAAUGUCGAUUGUAGAUCAAAUGUUUGUGGCAAAUAUGAAAGAAAUGAGUAAAAAAUGGCAUUAUCACAUGUAACCAUAGCAACAGGCUGUUGUUUUAUGUAGUUCUUUUAUGUCAUUUUGUACAUAUAAUGAGCAAUGUGUACUCUUUGUGUCUAUGAAUUAGUUUAUGUA